This 253-nucleotide ribosomal RNA is filed under the name uncultured bacterium. Its description in RNAcentral is "partial 16S ribosomal RNA". It matches the Rfam family "Bacterial small subunit ribosomal RNA", at positions 524 to 776 of the family's 1533-position model. The record is from RNAcentral.
UACGUAGGGCGCAAGCGUUGUCCGGAAUUAUUGGGCGUAAAGAGCUCGUAGGCGGCUUGUCACGUCGGGUGUGAAAGCCCGGGGCUUAACCCCGGGUCUGCAUUCGAUACGGGCUAGCUAGAGUGUGGUAGGGGAGAUCGGAAUUCCUGGUGUAGCGGUGAAAUGCGCAGAUAUCAGGAGGAACACCGGUGGCGAAGGCGGAUCUCUGGGCCAUUACUGACGCUCAUGCACGAAAGCGUGGGGAGCAAACGGG